Molecule: ribosomal RNA, 419 nt
Filed under: bacterium
Lineage: Bacteria
Description: partial 16S ribosomal RNA
Rfam family: Bacterial small subunit ribosomal RNA
Source: RNAcentral
UGGGGGUUAUUGCACAAUGGGCGAAAGCCUGAUGCAGCGACGCCGCGUGGGGGAUGAAGGCCUUCGGGUUGUAAACUUCUUUUGCUCUGAACAAGGCGCACCAUGGGGUGUGUUGAGUGUAGGGGAUGAUUAGCGCCGGCUAACUACGUUCCAGCAGCCGCGGUCAUACUUAGGGCGCGAGCGUUGUCCGGCAUUAUUGGGCGUAAAGGGCUUGUAGGUGGCUGGUUGCGUCUGUCGUGAAAGCUCAUGGCUUAACUGUGGGUUUGCGGUGGGUACGGGCUGGCUGGAGUGGAGUAGGGGAGGCUGGAAUUCCUGGUGGAGCGGUGGAAUGCGCAGAUAUCAGGAGGAAUAACGGUGGCGGAGGCGGGUCUCUGGGCUGUUACUGACACUGAGGAGCCAAAGCAUGGGGGGCGAAGAGG